UGUGUCUCUCUCUCUCUCACAAACAUCAAGUCAUCAAGACUUUCCUUAUUUGGUUGUUCAAGGGGUGAAAGGUCGCCGUUUCGGCACUGUGGAGUUGCUCAGGAAACGUCAGGUCUCUCUCUGGCAACGUGUCACCGACAACUGUACGUCUUCUUCUGCAUGAUGCAGAGAGAGAAAGAGGUGGAGAAGGAGAUAAGAUCAUAAGUAAGAGCAGUAGCAGUGAAUGAAGAGAGAGAGACACAGAGAGAGGGAAGAGAGGGUACACAGCUUUUUGGUAUUGGGUUUUGUGGAGGUUGUUUCUCUUUUUUAUUUCUUUUCUUUCUUGGCCUGCAGAGCAAACCCUAAAUCCUCAUUGGCGUCUUACCCAUUGAUUUCUCUUACACCAAAACAGCAGGAACCGUAGAUUUUUGCGGCUUUUGGUAGGUUUCCUUAUAUGGGUUUCUUUCUGUGUUCUCAGAUCUGACUCACAUAACAUCGAUCAUUCUCUUUCUCUCAGGUUACCUUUUUCUAGUUUUGCUUUCCUCCCAGUUUCCACUCCCUUCAUUUCUUUGUUAUUAAUCAAACUUUGCGAUUUGUGACUUUAAUUUCUUGUGCCGUUGGUUGUGAAUUUGGUUGGAACAGAGAUGGAAAUUGACAGAAGAGAGUGAGCACACAGAGGCACUUGGCAUAAAGCGUAUGCUAUUGCUUUUGCGUGCUCAUGUCUCUUUCUGUCAGCUUCCCAGUUCCACUGCCGGAUUAUUUUAAUUUCUUAUUUACUUCUCAUCCAUCUCUGGCCUGUGUUUCUUCCACUACUUGUAUUCUCUCUCUCUCUCUCUCUCUCUCUCUCUCGCUCCAAAUCUUUAAUCUUAAAGCCUUUGUGGGGCUUCAAAGCAACGCUUAAUUUGCUACUUUGAAAUCGUUGACUUUGCAGGAACGCUUAAGGAUUCAUUUUCGAACCGUCAACACAUUAUCAAGUUGAAGUUGGUUUCAUAUGUAAGACAGACGAUUAAUUUCGAGAUGAAAGAGGCUUUUGGCAAACCAGUAAUACUGAGAAAGACUGGAUAUUGUCGCCGUGCUGUCGAUGCUUGAUCAUCAAUAAUAAUCACCUUGUGCUGUUGGACGUUAACCUUGGAGCUAGCUCUCGUCCUUAGCAGCGGAUGAAGUCAAAACAAUAUCUUUAUAAACAGUUCGGCUAUAAAUCAGUAGCUGUAAUGUAAAAGCACAGUUUGUUUUUUAUAUCUAUUUUGAUUUUGAUUUGUGAAGAAAUUCGAUUUUGGAGGUGGUUUUUCUUUCUGUUUUAGAAGCAAGGAAACAGUAAU
Long non-coding RNA from Prunus dulcis (almond), 1298 nucleotides. RefSeq lists it as uncharacterized. The transcript is spliced from 4 exons. Lineage: Eukaryota; Viridiplantae; Streptophyta; Magnoliopsida; Rosales; Rosaceae. The record is from RefSeq and is a predicted model, not a curated record.